UACGGGGGGGGCAAGCGUUGUUCGGAAUUACUGGGCGUAAAGGGCUCGUAGGUGGCCAACUAAGUCAGACGUGAAAUCCCUCGGCUUAACCGGGGAACUGCGUCUGAUACUGGAUGGCUUGAGUUCGGGAGAGGGAUGCGGAAUUCCAGGUGUAGCGGUGAAAUGCGUAGAUAUCAGGAGGAACACCGGUGGCGAAGGCGGAUCUCUGGGCCUUACCUGACGCUCAGGUGCGACAGCGUGGGGAUCAAACAGG
RNAcentral lists this ribosomal RNA (253 nucleotides) under uncultured bacterium. Its description in RNAcentral is "partial 16S ribosomal RNA". It matches the Rfam family "Bacterial small subunit ribosomal RNA", at positions 524 to 776 of the family's 1533-position model. The record is from RNAcentral.